This 479-nucleotide ribosomal RNA is filed under the name uncultured bacterium. RNAcentral's name for it is "bacterial SSU rRNA". It matches the Rfam family "Bacterial small subunit ribosomal RNA", at positions 47 to 518 of the family's 1533-position model. The record is from RNAcentral.
CCUAACACAUGCAAGUACGAACGGAAGGUAAGCGCGUUCGGAGGCUUCGGCCAAUGUAAAAAUCUUAUCUUAGUGGCGGACGGGUGAGUAACGCGUGGAUAACCUGCCAUAUACAGGGGGAGUAACAGUUAGAAAUGACUGCUAAUACCGCAUAAGCGCACGGAAACGCAUGUUUCAGUGUGAAAAACUCCGGUGGUAUAUGAUGGAUCCGCGUCUGAUUAGCCAGUUGGCGGGGUAACGGCCCACCAAAGCGACGAUCAGUAGCCGGCCUGAGAGGGUGAACGGCCACAUUGGGACUGAGACACGGCCCAAACUCCUACGGGAGGCAGCAGUGGGGGAUAUUGCACAAUGGGGGAAACCCUGAUGCAAGCGACGCCGCGUGAGUGAAGAAGUAUUUCGGUAUGUAAAGCUCUAUCAGCAGGGAAGAUAAUGACGGUACCUGACUAAGAAGCACCGGCUAAAUACGUGCCAGCCGCCGC